CAUACUCGCCGAAUGGUAUAGGCGCUUGAUUUAGGUUCAAGUCCCGCAAGGGAUGUGGGUUCAACUCCCGCGUAUG
Molecule: transfer RNA, 76 nt
Filed under: Desertifilum tharense IPPAS B-1220
Lineage: Bacteria; Bacillati; Cyanobacteriota; Cyanophyceae; Desertifilales; Desertifilaceae
Description: Desertifilum sp. IPPAS B-1220 tRNA
Rfam family: tRNA
About the family: Transfer RNA (tRNA) molecules are approximately 80 nucleotides in length. Their secondary structure includes four short double-helical elements and three loops (D, anti-codon, and T loops). Further hydrogen bonds mediate the characteristic L-shaped molecular structure. tRNAs have two regions of fundamental functional importance: the anti-codon, which is responsible for specific mRNA codon recognition, and the 3' end, to which the tRNAs corresponding amino acid is attached (by aminoacyl-tRNA synthetases). tRNAs cope with the degeneracy of the genetic code in two manners: having more than one tRNA (with a specific anti-codon) for a particular amino acid; and 'wobble' base-pairing, i.e. permitting non-standard base-pairing at the 3rd anti-codon position.
Source: Rfam by way of RNAcentral